This 439-nucleotide ribosomal RNA is filed under the name uncultured bacterium. RNAcentral's name for it is "partial 16S ribosomal RNA". It matches the Rfam family "Bacterial small subunit ribosomal RNA", at positions 339 to 795 of the family's 1533-position model. The record is from RNAcentral.
CUACGGGCCGCACCAGUGGGGAAUAUUGGACAAUGGGCGAAAGCCUGAUCCAGCAAUGCCGCGUGAGUGAUGAAGGCCUUAGGGUUGUAAAGCUCUUUUACCCGGGAUGAUAAUGACAGUACCGGGAGAAUAAGCUCCGGCUAACUCCGUGCCAGCAGCCGCGGUAAUACGGAGGGAGCUAGCGUUGUUCGGAAUUACUGGGCGUAAAGCGCGCGUAGGCGGCUUUGUAAGUUAGAGGUGAAAGCCUGGAGCUCAACUCCAGAAUUGCCUUUAAGACUGCAUCGCUCGAAUCCAGGAGAGGUCAGUGGAAUUCCGAGUGUAGAGGUGAAAUUCGUAGAUAUUCGGAAGAACACCAGUGGCGAAGGCGGCUGACUGGACUGGUAUUGACGCUGAGGUGCGAAAGCGUGGGGAGCAAACAGGAUUAGAUACCCCGGUAGUC